GAUGAACGCUAGCAGGAGGCCUAACACAUGCAAGCCGAGCGGUAGAGUUCCUUCGGGAACUUGAGAGCGGCGUACGGGUGCGUAACACGUGUGCAACCUACCUUUAUCUGGGGGAUAGCCUUUCGAAAGGUAGAUUAAUACCCCAUAAUAUAUUGAAUGGCAUCAUUUAAUAUUGAAAACUCUGGUGGAUAGAGAUGGGCACGCGCAAGAUUAGAUAGUUGGUGAGGUAACGGCUCACCAAGUCUGUGAUCUUUAGGGGUCCUGAGAGGGAGAUCCCCCACACUGGUACUGAGACACGGACCAGACUCCUACGGGAGGCAGCAGUGAGGAAUAUUGGACAAUGGGUGAGAGCCUGAUCCAGCCAUCCCGCGUGAAGGAUGACGGUCCUAUGGAUUGUAAACUUCUUUUGUACAGGAAUAAACCUAUUUACGUGUAAAUAGCUGAAGGUACUGUACGAAUAAGCACCGGCUAACUCCGUGCCAGCCGCCGCGGUAA
Molecule: ribosomal RNA, 495 nt
Filed under: uncultured bacterium
Lineage: Bacteria
Description: partial 16S ribosomal RNA
Rfam family: Bacterial small subunit ribosomal RNA
Source: RNAcentral